RNAcentral lists this ribosomal RNA (92 nucleotides) under Paenibacillus amylolyticus. Lineage: Bacteria; Bacillati; Bacillota; Bacilli; Caryophanales; Paenibacillaceae. RNAcentral also lists the same sequence under 11 other names. The record is from RNAcentral.
CACACGUACCCAUCCCGAACACGACCGUUAAGCCCUCUAGCGCCGAUGGUACUUGGACCGCAGGGUCCUGGGAGAGUAGGACGCCGCCAAGC